RNAcentral lists this long non-coding RNA (598 nucleotides) under Olea europaea (common olive). RNAcentral describes it as "long non-coding RNA (OEUR_LNC000797)". The record is from RNAcentral. Lineage: Eukaryota; Viridiplantae; Streptophyta; Magnoliopsida; Lamiales; Oleaceae.
GUAUUUGCAUCACCUUUGCUGUAUUAAUUUGAUACAUCUUUCACUUCAAAUCAUUCACAGCAUUUGCAUUCAUUUAGGUUCACUAAACAUUUCACACCUGUGUCACUUGAUGGAUUUGGGAAUAAAAUACCUUGCCAAUGGUUGUCGAAGAAUCAAAAGCUCAGACUUUGCCGCAACCAUUUCAAGUUUUCAUUGGUUCUCAGUUUUAUGCUGAAGUCAUGGAAACGUUAUACGACUUUACACUCUCCUAGAUAAAAAAAAUUUCACCAUUAUAAAUUCUAUAAUGGAAUUUGGUGAUUCACUUCUCUUUUCCUUUAUAUCAUAAUGUUGUUUGCAUUUCUUGCACCACUAAUCUGAUCUGGGUUGUUCUCUUUUGUGUGAGCAAUGAAGCUAUGGCAGCAUUUGUAGAAAGUUCUAGAUAGUUUCUGGAGGAACUCUUGCUGAAUAAUGAGACGAAGGUAUGAAAUACAUGGAGUUAUUUAAGUCAUUCUACCUAAGACGAGAAUUUGCUGUAAGUUUAUUAACAUCAGCAAUUUAACACUCUAUUCCUAUCGACCUAUUUGUUUGAUGCUUACGAUGAGCCAUAAUAAUUAGGUCG